This 29-nucleotide non-coding RNA is filed under the name Rattus norvegicus (Norway rat). Lineage: Eukaryota; Metazoa; Chordata; Mammalia; Rodentia; Muridae. The record is from RNAcentral.
UUGGCUUUUAUACGGCAUUCAAAAUGUGC